RNAcentral lists this ribosomal RNA (327 nucleotides) under uncultured eukaryote. Its description in RNAcentral is "partial 18S ribosomal RNA". It matches the Rfam family "Eukaryotic small subunit ribosomal RNA", at positions 1470 to 1796 of the family's 1831-position model. The record is from RNAcentral.
CCCUUAGACGUUCUGGGCCGCACGCGCGCUACACUGACGAAUGCAACGAGCUUAUAACCUUGGCCGAAAGGUCUGGGUAAUCUCCAAAUUUCGUCGUGAUGGGGAUAGAUUAUUGCAAUUAUUAAUCUUCAACGAGGAAUGCCUAGUAAGCGCAAGUCAUCAGCUUGCGUUGAUUACGUCCCUGCCCUUUGUACACACCGCCCGUCGCUCCUACCGAUUGAAUGGUCCGGUGAAGCGUUCGGACCGUGGCCUUUGGACGGUUCGCCGUCUGUUGGCUGCGGGAAGUUCGUUAAACCUUNUNAUUUAUNGGAAGGAGAANUCGUANCA